This 500-nucleotide ribosomal RNA is filed under the name uncultured bacterium. RNAcentral's name for it is "partial 16S ribosomal RNA". It matches the Rfam family "Bacterial small subunit ribosomal RNA", at positions 30 to 523 of the family's 1533-position model. The record is from RNAcentral.
AUUGAACGCUGGCGGCAUGCCUUACACAUGCAAGUCGAACGGCAGCACGGGAGCAAUCCUGGUGGCGAGUGGCGAACGGGUGAGUAAAGUAUCGGAACGCGCCCAGUCGUGGGGGAUAACGUAGCGAAAGUUACGCUAAUACCGCAUACGAUCUAUGGAUGAAAGCGGGGGAUCGCAAGACCUCGCGCGAUUGGAGCGGCCGAUAUCAGAUUAGGUAGUUGGUGGGGUAAAGGCUCACCAAGCCGACGAUCUGUAGCUGGUCUGAGAGGACGACCAGCCACACUGGGACUGAGACACGGCCCAGACUCCUACGGGAGGCAGCAGUGGGGAAUCUUGGACAAUGGGCGAAAGCCUGAUCCAGCCAUGCCGCGUGCAGGAUGAAGGCCUUCGGGUUGUAAACUGCUUUUGUACGGAACGAAAAGGUUUGGGCUAAUAAGCUGAGCUCAUGACGGUACCGUAAGAAUAAGCACCGGCUAACUACGUGCCAGCCGCCGCAGUAA